ACUCAAAGGAAUUGACGGGGGCCCGCACAAGCGGUGGAGCAUGUGGUUUAAUUCGACGCAACGCGAAGAACCUUACCCGGGCUUGAACUGCAGAUGACCGACUACGAAAGUGGUUUUCCGCAAGGACAUCUGUAGAGGUGCUGCAUGGCUGUCGUCAGCUCGUGUCGUGAGAUGUUGGGUUAAGUCCCGCAACGAGCGCAACCCUUGUCCGCUGUUGCCAUCAGGUAAUGCUGGGCACUCUGCGGAGACUGCCGGUGACAAACCGGAGGAAGGUGGGGAUGACGUCAAGUCAGCAUGGCCUUUAUGUCCGGGGCUACACACGUGCUACAAUGGCCGGUACAAACCGCUGCAAACUCGCGAGGGUGAGCUAAUCGGAAAAAGCCGGUCUCAGUUCGGAUUGUAGGCUGCAACUCGCCUGCAUGAAGUCGGAAUCGCUAGUAAUCGCGGAUCAGCACGCCGCGGUGAAUACGUUCCCGGGCCUUGUACACACCGCCCGU
RNAcentral lists this ribosomal RNA (497 nucleotides) under uncultured bacterium. Its description in RNAcentral is "partial 16S ribosomal RNA". It matches the Rfam family "Bacterial small subunit ribosomal RNA", at positions 899 to 1397 of the family's 1533-position model. The record is from RNAcentral.